ACGAACGCUGGCGGCGUGCUUAACACAUGCAAGUCGAACGGAAAGGCCCUGCUUUUGUGGGGUGCUCGAGUGGCGAACGGGUGAGUAACACGUGAGUAACCUGCCCUUGACUUUGGGAUAACUUCAGGAAACUGGGGCUAAUACCGGAUAGGAGCUCCUGCUGCAUGGUGGGGGUUGGAAAGUUUCGGCGGUUGGGGAUGGACUCGCGGCUUAUCAGCUUGUUGGUGGGGUAGUGGCUUACCAAGGCUUUGACGGGUAGCCGGCCUGAGAGGGUGACCGGCCACAUUGGGACUGAGAUACGGCCCAGACUCCUCCGGGAGGCAGCAGGGGGGAAUAUUGCACAAUGGGCGGAAGCCUGAUGCAGCAACGCCGCGGGCGGGAUGACGGCCUUCGGGUUGUAAACCGCUUUCGCCUGUGACGAAGCGUGAGUGACGGUAAUGGGUAAAGAAGCACCGGCCAACUAC
Molecule: ribosomal RNA, 464 nt
Filed under: uncultured bacterium
Lineage: Bacteria
Description: partial 16S ribosomal RNA
Rfam family: Bacterial small subunit ribosomal RNA
Source: RNAcentral